Molecule: ribosomal RNA, 601 nt
Filed under: uncultured bacterium
Lineage: Bacteria
Description: bacterial SSU rRNA
Rfam family: Bacterial small subunit ribosomal RNA
Source: RNAcentral
GGAAGCAGCUUGCUGCUUCGCUGACGAGUGGCGGACGGGUGAGUAAUGUCUGGGAAACUGCCUGAUGGAGGGGGAUAACUACUGGAAACGGUAGCUAAUACCGCAUAACGUCGCAAGACCAAAGAGGGGGACCUUCGGGCCUCUUGCCAUCGGAUGUGCCCAGAUGGGAUUAGCUAGUAGGUGGGGUAACGGCUCACCUAGGCGACGAUCCCUAGCUGGUCUGAGAGGAUGACCAGCCACACUGGAACUGAGACACGGUCCAGACUCCUACGGGAGGCAGCAGUGGGGAAUAUUGCACAAUGGGCGCAAGCCUGAUGCAGCCAUGCCGCGUGUAUGAAGAAGGCCUUCGGGUUGUAAAGUACUUUCAGCGGGGAGGAAGGGAGUAAAGUUAAUACCUUUGCUCAUUGACGUUACCCGCAGAAGAAGCACCGGCUAACUCCGUGCCAGCAGCCGCGGUAAUACGGAGGGUGCAAGCGUUAAUCGGAAUUACUGGGCGUAAAGCGCACGUAGGCUGUUGUGUAAGUCAGGGGUGAAAUCCCACGGCUCAACCGUGGAACUGCCUUUGAUACUGCACGACUUGAAUCCGGGAGAGGGUGGCGGA